RNAcentral lists this ribosomal RNA (254 nucleotides) under uncultured bacterium. RNAcentral describes it as "partial 16S ribosomal RNA". It matches the Rfam family "Bacterial small subunit ribosomal RNA", at positions 524 to 776 of the family's 1533-position model. The record is from RNAcentral.
UACAUAGGGAGCAAGCGUUAUCCGGAAUGAUUGGGCGUAAAGCGUCUGUAGGUGGUUCGAAAAGUCUACUGUCAAAUACGUUGGCUCAACCAACGGCAGGCAUUAGAGUACUAUUGAACUAGAGUAUGGUAGAGGUAGAGGGAAUCCCUAGCGUAACAGUGAAAUGUGUAGAUUUUAGGGAGAACACCAGCGGCGAAGGCGCUCUACUGGGCCAUUACUGACACUGAGAGACGAAAGCUAAGGGAGCGAAAGAG